This 425-nucleotide ribosomal RNA is filed under the name uncultured bacterium. RNAcentral describes it as "bacterial SSU rRNA". It matches the Rfam family "Bacterial small subunit ribosomal RNA", at positions 30 to 457 of the family's 1533-position model. The record is from RNAcentral.
AUUGAACGCUGGCGGCAUGCCUUACACAUGCAAGUCGAACGGCAGCGGGCCUUCGGGUGCCGGCGAGUGGCGAACGGGUGAGUAAUGCAUCGGAACGUGCCAUUGAGUGGGGGAUAACGUAGCGAAAGUUACGCUAAUACCGCAUAUUCUGUGAGCAGGAAAGCAGGGGGACCGCAAGGCCUUGCGCUCUUUGAGCGGCCGAUGUCAGAUUAGCUAGUUGGUGAGGUAAAGGCUUACCAAGGCGACGAUCUGUAGCGGGUCUGAGAGGAUGAUCCGCCACACUGGAACUGAGACACGGUCCAGACUCCUACGGGAGGCAGCAGUGGGGAAUUUUGGACAAUGGGCGCAAGCCUGAUCCAGCCAUGCCGCGUGAGUGAAGAAGGCCUCGGUUGUAAGACUCUUUCGGUCCGGGAACGGAAAGUACG